UAGUUAUCAAGAAAGGCGGAGGGAUUAGACCCUAUGAAGCCUUAGCAACCCUUUGCUCCAAAAGCAAUGAAGGUGCUAAAUUCUGCCCAAUUUAUGUGGGACAGAUAACAA
Molecule: non-coding RNA, 111 nt
Filed under: Sediminicola sp. YIK13
Lineage: Bacteria; Pseudomonadati; Bacteroidota; Flavobacteriia; Flavobacteriales; Flavobacteriaceae
Also listed under: 1 other name
Description: SAM riboswitch aptamer (S box leader)
Rfam family: SAM riboswitch aptamer (S box leader)
About the family: The SAM riboswitch is found upstream of a number of genes which code for proteins involved in methionine or cysteine biosynthesis in Gram-positive bacteria. The SAM riboswitch acts at the level of transcription termination control. The predicted structure consists of a complex stem-loop region followed by a single stem loop terminator region.
Source: Rfam by way of RNAcentral